GCAGUUUUCAGCGAAAGAUACAUAUAUAAUUUUCAAUGUGUUUUUGUUUGACUGAUUUUACAUGGACGAAAACACAAGUUUUUGGUCGAAAACCAGUUUUUCUCACGAAAACAUGUUUUCAUUGUCGUUUCAGAUAUGGGUAACCAUUAUAGCAGUGGUUUUGAAUGAGAGGAUGAUAGAGGGGAAACAAGUGACACCAAUCACAGAAGAAUAUCCUUACCAUAAUUCAACUAAGAGAAGUAGAGAUAGUACGGGAUAUACAUAAAUACUAUUUUACAUACAAGUAUAAUCAAACCAAAAGAUGGUGGUUGGAAGUGGUUGAUAAGAUUAAAGAAAAUAUUAUAGAAAGUAAUAUACCUAUAAAUAACAAAGGACUACUUUUAAAUGAAAUAAAAAUUAUAAAGUCAAAAAUAACUACCCCCAGGGAGGAAAAUAGGAGGAAGAAAGGACUUAUUAACAUAGUAGGCACAACUUACAAAUGGUUAUUUAGGUAA
Bactrocera neohumeralis is the source of this 494-nucleotide long non-coding RNA. RefSeq lists it as uncharacterized. The record is from RefSeq and is a predicted model, not a curated record. The transcript is spliced from 2 exons. NCBI's taxonomy places the organism in Eukaryota, Metazoa, Arthropoda, Insecta, Diptera, Tephritidae.